AACGAACGCUGGCGGCAUGCCUAACACAUGCAAGUCGAACGAUGCCUUCGGGCAUAGUGGCGCACGGGUGCGUAACGCGUGGGAAUCUGCCCUUGGCUUCGGAAUAACAGUUAGAAAUGACUGCUAAUACCGGAUGAUGUCCCCCUGAGAGAUCUUGGGGACCAAAGAUUUAUCGGCCAGGGAUGAGCCCGCGUAGGAUUAGGUAGUUGGUGGGGUAAAGGCCUACCAAGCCGACGAUCCUUAGCUGGUCUGAGAGGAUGAUCAGCCACACUGGGACUGAGACACGGCCCAGACUCCUACGGGAGGCAGCAGUGGGGAAUAUUGGACAAUGGGGGGAACCCUGAUCCAGCAAUGCCGCGUGAGUGAUGAAGGCCUUAGGGUUGUAAAGCUCUUUUACCAGGGAUGAUAAUGACAGUACCUGGAGAAUAAGCUCCGGCUAACCCCGUG
RNAcentral lists this ribosomal RNA (447 nucleotides) under uncultured bacterium. RNAcentral describes it as "partial 16S ribosomal RNA". It matches the Rfam family "Bacterial small subunit ribosomal RNA", at positions 29 to 507 of the family's 1533-position model. The record is from RNAcentral.